Molecule: ribosomal RNA, 468 nt
Filed under: uncultured bacterium
Lineage: Bacteria
Description: partial 16S ribosomal RNA
Rfam family: Bacterial small subunit ribosomal RNA
Source: RNAcentral
GACGAACGCUGGCGGCGUGCUUAACACAUGCAAGUCGAACGGAAAGGCCCUGCUUUUGUGGGGUGCUCGAGUGGCGAACGGGUGAGUAACACGUGAGUAACCUGCCCUUGACUUUGGGAUAACUUCAGGAAACUGGGGCUAAUACCGGAUAGGAGCUCCUGCUGCAUGGUGGGGGUUGGAAAGUUUCGGCGGUUGGGGAUGGACUCGCGGCUUAUCAGCUUGUUGGUGGGGUAGUGGCUUACCAAGGCUUUGACGGGUAGCCGGCCUGAGAGGGUGACCGGCAGCAUGGGGCCUGAGCUACGCCCACACCGCCCACGGAAGACAGGAGGGGGCAUUAUUGAACACGGGGCGGAAGCCGGAGGCCGCCCCCCCGGGGGAGGAUGGACGCCCUCCGGUUUUAAACCCCCUUGCGCAUGCGCCGGGGCGGGAGUCAGGGCAGGGGGAAAAGAGGCACCGCCUACCCACGAC